CAGCCGCCGCGGGAAUACGGAGGGGGCUAGCGUUGUUCGGAACUACUGGGCGUAAAGCGCACGUAGGCGGCUUGGUAAGUUAGAGGUGAAAGCCCGGAGCUCAACUCCGGAAUUGCCUUUAAGACUGCCGAGCUAGUAGGUGAGAGAGGUAAGUGGAAUUCCGAGUGUAGAGGUGAAAUUCGUAGAUAUUCGGAAGAACACCAGUGGCGAAGGCGGCUUACUGGCUCAUUCUAGACGCUGAGGUGCAAAAGCGUGGGGAGCAAACAGGAUUAGAUACCCGUGUAGUCCCUGUCUCUUAUAC
RNAcentral lists this ribosomal RNA (301 nucleotides) under uncultured bacterium. RNAcentral's name for it is "partial 16S ribosomal RNA". It matches the Rfam family "Bacterial small subunit ribosomal RNA", at positions 509 to 807 of the family's 1533-position model. The record is from RNAcentral.